CAAACAAGCAGCGGACAAUGUGCAGACUAUUCUAUUACACAGAUCGAUAUCCCUGUAUCGACGAGGGCGUUUAGAACCCACUGUUGUCUUUUGUCAGUCCAAAUUGGACCGACGCUUUACUGGAAUUACCACCUUAUUGAACGUCUUGGAAACUACUGGGAAUUAAGAGGAAUUGGAUACAACGGGCGCUUUUUGUUAGCUCACCUCUGUAUGCCUGAUUCAACGAAAGUGAAUUGCGUGGAAGAACCCCCUCUCUCCCUACUGCUUUGUUACACAGACCCGCUGGUAGUGGUGUAGCGAGUUGGGAAAUAGUCACACGCUCUCUCGCAGAGUUUCGGCGUACACUUCAUUUCGGUGUCUCGCUGUAUAUAAUCUGGUGUAUCGUUUAGUUGGAAGUUUAACCUUAGAUUUGGAUGUGAAUGUCACGACUUCUUCUUGGAUGCUCUUUUACUGAUGAUGUCAACAAAUCUCAAUAUCGCUCCUUGACUGACCUCCGUGGAUGAACGUUCUUCGCCUACGCAGCUUGUAACCGAGGCCUGGGAACUUUUCACCGCAUUUAGCUUUCCUGAUAUUGCCCGAACACAGUGCGAGGGUGCAGAGCAGUGAGGCCGAGGAGAAAGAGAGGGAGCGAGAGGAGUCGGUCCAAACCAGACUUGGAGACCAGUCGUUAGCAUGGAUUUAUUAUAUUAUAUGACAGUCUCAUUACUUGGUUUUAUACUGAGUCUAACCACUUUCAUCGGAGAAACGACCAGAGCGCUUUCAGAUGAUGUUUCAAGUCCGUGCAAAGCUUCCGGUUUCCUGGGCGACAUAGCUCUAACAGAAGAUGAUUAUGAGAGGGAAAUGAUCAGAGCGAGGCACAAUAGGGAACAGUAUCGAAGAAGGAUAUUACAAGAAAGACAUACCAGGACCACAGGUGCACGUCAUCAUAUUAAAAAGAGAACGAUAGAAGAAGCAAAGGUGAGACAUGUUCGUGCUGUAACAGCUAGACCAGAAAGGAGAUGGACAGACGCUGUAAUACCUUACGAAAUCGAUGGCAACUUUACAGGAUCGCAGCGGGCGAUGUUUAAACAGGCGAUGAGGCACUGGGAGAACUAUACCUGUAUUACAUUUGUUGAGAGAAAUCCUGCGAACAGUGAGCAUGACAACCAUAUAGUCUUCACUUACCAGGCGUGCGGCUGCUGUUCGUUUGUCGGGCGAAAAGGUGACGGUGCCCAGGCCGUGUCUGUCGGCAAGAACUGCGACAAGUUUGGCGUGGUCGUCCACGAACUGGGACACGUGGUGGGAUUCUGGCACGAGCACACCCGUCCUGAUCGUAACGAGUUCGUAGGCAUCGUACACCAGAACAUCGUACCAGGUCAAGAGUACAACUUCCGGGUUCUAGACGCGGCCGAGGUCGAUUCUCUUGGCGAGACGUACGACUUCGCCAGCAUCAUGCAUUACGCGCGGAACACUUUCUCACGAGGUAUUUGGCUGGAUACUAUCCUACCUAGGAAAGAUCCGGAAUCCGGUAUUCGACCCGAGAUCGGACAGAGGAAGCACCUGAGUGAAGGCGAUAUCAUUCAAGCCAACUUGCUUUAUAAAUGCCCGUCAUGUGGCCGGACACUUCUGGAGUCCACCGGCAACUUCAGUUCGCCCGAGUGGCCUGGGCAGUAUGACGGUGAUCAGACGUGUGUUUGGCGCAUCUCCGUUACCCCCGGUGAGACCAUCAGUCUUCAGUUCACGGGCUUCGAGCUGGUCGGUAGCGAUGGGUGCUGGUAUAACUACUUAGAGGUCCGAGACGGUCAUUGGAGACAUUCUCCACUCCUUGGUCGGUUUUGCGGAGCAUCCUUACCCGAUCCGAUACUCUCGUCGGAUAGCCGGUUGUGGAUUGAAUUGAAAAGCUCGGCGCAUAGAUACAGCAGAGGUUUCGCCGCGAACUACGAAGCGAUCUGCGGCGGUCACAUCGAGCGGGAAUCGGGAACACUCCAGAGCCCGAACUACCCCGAUGAUUACCAUCCUAGCAAGGAGUGUGUGUGGCUCAUCACCAUGCCAGCGAACUACACGGUCGGACUCAGCUUCCAGUCGUUUGAGAUCGAACGACACGAGACGUGUAUCUAUGACUACGUAGAGGUUCGUGAUGGGCACGAAGACACUUCGCCGCUCAUCGGCCGCUACUGUGGCUAUUUCAUUCCUGAUGACAUCAAGUCCACUGGGAAUAAGAUGAUGGUCACAUUUGUGUCUGAUGGAUCCGUCAACAAAGGCGGGUUCUCCGCCGACUUCUUCAAAGAAAAGGAUGAAUGUGCGCAACCAGACCAGGGUGGAUGCAUGGAUGUCUGCGUGAAUACUAUCGGUAGCUACCGGUGUGACUGUCGCCCCGGAUAUGAGCUUAGCUCCGACGGUCGUAGAUGUGAAGUUGCCUGCGGAGGUUUAUUCACUGGUCUACGAGGGAAUAUCUCCAGCCCUUCUUAUCCCGAGCCCUAUCCGAGGGACAAGAACUGUGUCUGGCAGAUCGUCGCACCAUCUAACUACAGGAUCUCACUCCAGUUUAUCACCUUUGACCUCGAGGGUAACGAGGUGUGCAAGUACGACUACGUUGAUGUCCGUAGCGGUCUGAAUGAGGAAGGCACCCUCCACGGCAAGUUCUGCGGCAAUGAGAUUCCCGAGACGAUCACAUCCCGAUUCAACAAUCUCCGUAUCGACUUCCGAUCCGACAACACGGUCGCCAAAGAAGGUUUCUUCGCAAACUUCUUCGCUGAUGUGGAUGAGUGCGAAGAAGGCAAUGGUGGAUGUCAGCACAUCUGCACCAAUACACUGGGGAGCUACACGUGUUCAUGUCGCAAUGGGUUUACAGUGCAUGAGAACCUACACGGAUGCAAAGAGUCUGGUUGUAGGAGAGAGAUACAGUCGACCACGGGAAUCAUCACAAGUCCCAACUAUCCCGACAACUACCCGAAGCGUAAAGAGUGUACCUGGCAUAUCUCUGCAAACCCUGGACAUAAGAUUGUGUUGUCGUUCGAUGAUUUUGACUUGGAGCAGCACCAGGAGUGCACCUACGACCGUGUCCAAGUCUUUGACGGCGAUAGCGACGAGGGUCAGGUCCUAGGCCGGUACUGCGGGGCUACCAUCCCGGACGCAGUCGUAUCGAGCAGCAACCACAUGUUCAUACGUUUCUACUCCGACGCCUCCGUUUCGAGGAGUGGUUUCUCAGCCACUCAUUCUACGCGUAAGUUACGCCAGAAUGCGGUGGCCGGCUCGAGGCGGAACUCUCAGCCCAGCGACUCUACUCACAUGCCGAUUACGGAGACCAGAACUAUGAGAAUCAGGAGUCGUGCGAAUGGACUAUCGUCUCACCCGAUGACCAUUUCAUCCAUCUCUGGUUCCGAUCAUUCGACAUCGAACACGAGACCGAAUGCAACUACGACCAGGUGAUGAUCCUUGAUGGCGACAACCAUGCGGCAGAAUCUUUUGGAAAGUUUUGCGGUCAUCGAGCCCCCGACGAUAUAGUUUCAUCCGGUGAUUCUUUGAUGAUUACUUUCUCAUCUGAUGAUACUAUUAAUAAGAAGGGCUUCCUCGCAAUAUUCAAGCUAACUGAUGGAGAAUUACUAGAGGGUGCAGGCGAAGAAGAGGAAGAGAUAUAUUAUAACUGAGAAUAGAACCCGAGAGAUAAAGAAAACUUGAAUCUGGAGCUGUUUACCUCUGCUAACCAGCAUGUGUGAGAUAUAGAGUGCACUCGUAAUAUGAGAUAUUGUCAAAUGACUGACACUUAAAACCAGAAGAUUCCUUCAUAUUUUCUGAAGGGCAAAUUGAAUGUAUGGAUUGGAGUCACAUUCAAAUUCAGCUUGUAGACAGUGACCUUUAACCUUUUAAGAGAGCACCUCACCAUAUUCUUUCAGGGAUUAUUCUAAAGUGACUACCGGUAAUGACUUUUAAAAAUGCUCACUGCACAAUGCGACAAGAAGUGUGUUUUGAUUUAAGGAAUUAUGGAACCCUGAUUAUUUUUUUUUUAGAGAACUUAUAUUUUAGAGUUGUGUUCAGCAAAAUGCGACGAUAAAACGAAAUAAUUUGAUUGCAUGUCCAUGCUUAGAUUUAGAUGUAGACUUGCUUAUGUUUUGCGCAAUUAGUAACAUUAAAGUACUUCUGAGUUUCCAUGCUUGUGCUAUGUACAUGUGCUUAAUAGCUAACGAAAUAAUAAGGUAAUAUCUGUUCGAUCUCUCAGUUUGCCGAUAGAUGCUGCAAUUUUUUUCAGCAAGCCCCCCUCCAAAAAGAUCAUCAAUAUUUGGAAAAGGGCGACAGCGGAUAAAAAUCGACUAAGAAUUACAUAUUAGCUGAAAGACAAAACCAGCUUUUUGAGCGCUAAAAGUCGUUAUGCUGAUGUUGUAGUAUACAAUUUGUUCAUACAAUUUCAAUAUCUUAUGAGAGAUUUCGGAAAUGCCAUAAAUGUUGUAUAUUCCUCGUCAACCAAAGAAACUUAAUGAUGGUUACAAUAAGAACGUAAGGAAGAAACAUUGAUAACAGGAGAAAAGGGGAGAUGUUUGGACGGAGGUUUGUAAUUAUAAUUUCCAUGUUUACAUAUCUAUGCAAAGUCAGGAAAGCUACUAAUGGAACACAUUGUUCAUUGAAAUUAACCCUUUGAGAACCAAAUGUUGAUAGGAAGAGAGACCAUGUAAAAGGGUAAUUUUAGAUUGCGAUAUAAGAGGGUUAAAACAUACCUCUUUAUAUCGAAUUGAAACUUAGCGACGGCGGACUCUUGCUUGCCUCCGCUAUAAUUAUGACAUUUAUGUUCCUGAUGAAUUGAUCACUCUUUUCUGUCAUGUAAAAUGAACUGUAAAUACAAUGUACAUUUGAUUAUUUUGUAGGGUUUUAAUAAUUGUAUAGACAAGCUGGACAAUCAUUGUUGCCAUCACCAACCGAGUGUGCUAUUUAAUGAGAAAACAAAUACUUGGGAGUAUGAAUCUGACCGCAUAUUGUGGUCUAAAGAUCGUCAUAUAAAUAGGAGGCGAACUGCCAUGACUUUAUACCCUGUACAUUCUUUUCGACGCAGUUUCAUCAUGAAUUGGAUAUUCUUAUUUGUACAGCUUAUGGCCAAAUUUUAAAUGUAUCCUUCCAGUAAAACCAUUCUCUCUUGAAUCUUUUUUUUUUCUUUUAAAAAUAAAUCUAACACAACAUUA
Molecule: RNA transcript, 5147 nt
Organism: Strongylocentrotus purpuratus (purple sea urchin)
Lineage: Eukaryota; Metazoa; Echinodermata; Echinoidea; Camarodonta; Strongylocentrotidae
Gene: BMP1
Gene name: bone morphogenetic protein 1
Exons: 20
Source: RefSeq, marked provisional